Molecule: non-coding RNA, 295 nt
Organism: Drosophila melanogaster (fruit fly)
Lineage: Eukaryota; Metazoa; Arthropoda; Insecta; Diptera; Drosophilidae
Source: Ensembl
ACACUAAACACUCACACGAACAUCUACAUUACUGCGGAACUUCUUAAAAUCAAGAAAAGUAUCUCUGCCUUGACAUACCACCCCCUUUUUCGACUGAAAACGCAUACGCACCAACUAAUUGAAUCAAAUGCACACGGCUAGGAGCGGAAAUUUUAAAAACUUCUGCUUGGAAAUGUCUAAAAUCACAGAGCAAAAUAAAACUUGACCGAGAAUACACUUGCUGUUGAAAAAACUGCAAACUCACCAACAUAAACGUUGCCGAUAGAGAUGGGCGCAGCGCAUGAGCUAGAGCGGG